Molecule: ribosomal RNA, 459 nt
Filed under: uncultured bacterium
Lineage: Bacteria
Description: partial 16S ribosomal RNA
Rfam family: Bacterial small subunit ribosomal RNA
Source: RNAcentral
CCUACGGUAGGCUGCAGUGAGGAAUAUUGGUCAAUGGGCGUAAGCCUGAACCAGCCAAGUCGCGUGAAGGAUGACGGCUCUACGGGUUGUAAACUUCUUUUAUAAGGGAAUAAAGUGAGGCACGUGUGCCUUUUUGUAUGUACUUUAUGAAUAAGGAUCGGCUAACUCCGUGCCGGCAGCCGCGGUAAUACGGAGGAUGCGAGCGUUAUCCGGUUUUAUUGGGUUUAAAGGGUGCGCAGGCGGAAGAUCAAGUCAGCGGUAAAAUUGUGGGGCUCAACCUAUUCGAGCCGUUGAAACUGGUUGUCUUGAGUAAGCGAGAAGUAUGCGGAAUGCGUGGUGUAGCGGUGAAAUGCAUAGAUAUCACGCAGAACUCCGAUUGCGAAGGCAGCAUACCGGCGCUCAACUGACGCUCAUGCACGAAAGUGUGGGUAUCGAACAGGAUUAGAUACCCUAGUAGUC